UGAGGAAUUUUGCGCAAUGGGAGCAAUCCUGACGCAGCAACGCCGCGUGGGUGAUGAAGGCCUUCGGGUCGUAAAGCUCUUUCGGUUGGGAAGAAAUUGCCUGGGUUAAUACCUCAGGUAGAUGACGGUACCAGCAUAAGAAGCACCGGCUAACUACGUGCCAGCAGCCGCGGUAAUACGGAGGGUGCAAGCGUUGUUCGGAAUCACUGGGCGUAAAGGGCGCGUAGGCGGUUUGAUAAGUCAGAUGUGAAAGCCCACGGCUUAACUGUGGAAGUGCAUUUGAAACUGUCAGACUUGAGUAUCAGAGGGGAAAGUGGAAUUCCCGGUGUAGAGGUGAAAUUCGUAGAUAUCGGGAGGAAUACCGGUGGCGAAGGCGACUUUCUGGCUGAAUACUAACGCUGAGGCGCGAAAGCGUGGGGAGCAAACA
RNAcentral lists this ribosomal RNA (427 nucleotides) under uncultured prokaryote. Its description in RNAcentral is "bacterial SSU rRNA". It matches the Rfam family "Bacterial small subunit ribosomal RNA", at positions 355 to 774 of the family's 1533-position model. The record is from RNAcentral.